RNAcentral lists this ribosomal RNA (233 nucleotides) under uncultured bacterium. RNAcentral describes it as "partial 16S ribosomal RNA". It matches the Rfam family "Bacterial small subunit ribosomal RNA", at positions 15 to 235 of the family's 1533-position model. The record is from RNAcentral.
GAUCCUGGCUCAGGAUGAACGCUAGCUACAGGCUUAACACAUGCAAGUCGNGGGGCAGCAUGGGAGAUGCUUGCAUUUCCCGAUGGCGACCGGCGCACGGGUGAGUAACGCGUAUCCAACCUGCCCUUCACUCCGGCACAGCCCGUCGAAAGACGGAUUAACGCGGGAUGCAGUCAGAAAGAUGCAUAUUAAUUUGACGAAAGGUCUUCGGGCCGGUGAGGGAUGGGGAUGCG